ACCUGCUCGCAGCACCCUGCUGUCUUCCCGGUCCGGCCCGCUGCCCGCGGCGCCAGCACCAUGCAUCUGUGGAACCCUCCAUUCUGUGGAUCAGUAUCUCAACAUCAAACUAACUGACAUCAGUGUCACAGACCCUGAGAAAUACCCUCACAUGUUAUCAGUGAAGAACUGCUUCAUUCGGGGCUCAGUGGUCCGAUACGUGCAGCUGCCAGCAGAUGAGGUCGACACACAGUUGCUACAGGAUGCGGCAAGGAAGGAAGCCCUGCAGCAGAAACAGUGAUGGCUCCUCCUCCUCUUCCCCUCCCUCUUUCAUUGGUGACCCAUAACCCCAAGUCCCAGCCCAGAACCCCUAACCCCCAAUACUUGAAGGGGUUUUGUUUUUUUACUAAUGAUGGUUUUGUGGGUUUUUUUUUAAGGGAUGAGUGGAUGAGAGGAGUAAUAGGGAACAGCUAUCCUCUCUUGAGAAGGGGAGGAUAAGUAGGCUGGGAAACUUCAAAGCCUUCCCAGUCCCCAGCACAUGCCUUUCUCACUACUUCUCUGGAGAUGGUAGGAGAGUUUCCUAGGUCUUUCCAGGGCAGCAUGUGAUUCAUUUGGGGAUGGAAGGAAUCUGUCCCGCAUCGGGAAUAAAAUUUAUGAUGCAAA
Molecule: small RNA, 642 nt
Filed under: Pan troglodytes (chimpanzee)
Lineage: Eukaryota; Metazoa; Chordata; Mammalia; Primates; Hominidae
Description: processed transcript
Source: RNAcentral